GACCCUAUAACUCAGUCGGUUAGAGUGUGGAGCUAAUACGAUCGUGUUACUCCAAAGUCGCCAGUUCGAGCCUGGUUAGGGUCA
RNAcentral lists this transfer RNA (84 nucleotides) under Malassezia nana. RNAcentral describes it as "tRNA-Ile". It matches the Rfam family "tRNA". From Rfam's summary of the family: Transfer RNA (tRNA) molecules are approximately 80 nucleotides in length. Their secondary structure includes four short double-helical elements and three loops (D, anti-codon, and T loops). Further hydrogen bonds mediate the characteristic L-shaped molecular structure. tRNAs have two regions of fundamental functional importance: the anti-codon, which is responsible for specific mRNA codon recognition, and the 3' end, to which the tRNAs corresponding amino acid is attached (by aminoacyl-tRNA synthetases). tRNAs cope with the degeneracy of the genetic code in two manners: having more than one tRNA (with a specific anti-codon) for a particular amino acid; and 'wobble' base-pairing, i.e. permitting non-standard base-pairing at the 3rd anti-codon position. The record is from RNAcentral. RNAcentral also lists the same sequence under 1 other name. Lineage: Eukaryota; Fungi; Basidiomycota; Malasseziomycetes; Malasseziales; Malasseziaceae.